UCUUUCAGUGUAUUUACCUGCAAAUGUAAAUUCACUUGAAUUUCUUCCACCAAAUCUUGUCGUAAGAGGAGAAAACAUGUAUUUACAAGCAAUGACGCGUUUUUUAGCAUUCGAAAAAAUUUGAACAUAGCAAUGAUGGUAAUUGGAUAUGACUAUUUCCCGGGAAAUGUAAAUUUAACUGUAUACAACGGUGCUGUGGCGUUAAGAUCCCACAAUAAAUCAUUUUGCUACUUUGACCAGCAAUAUAUCAAAAGAUGGAUUCAUUCAGACCUGGACAUCAUCACAGACUACAACCAGUCGUUGUGUGUAAGUCGUGGCAAAUUAUGUCACGAGCAAUGUAUUGGGUGUCUUGGACCAGGAAAUAUGAGAUGCAUAUCCUGCAAAAAUUUUAUAUUUCGCUCAGAAAAACACACAUUUUGCUUACAAAACUGUACGGAGGAUUUUUACUUCAAAGGAAAAACUUGUUACGCGUGCAGUGAAAUGUGCCAAAGUGGCUGCACUGAGAGACGAUCAAUGCAAUGAAUGUAAAGUAGCUUAUUUCAAUAAUUCUUGUAUCCGAGAAUGCCCUCCGAGUCAUUUUUAGCGAAUAAAACAUGUUAUCCCUGUGCAGACUCAUGCAAACCUUCAAAGAAUCUGAAAAGGACUUGUCACAGGCCUGAAAACUCUUUAAGUCCAACUGGCUGUGUUGAGUGCUUGUAUAAGCAGAUUAUAAAAAAUAAUAAGCAGAUUAUAAAAAAUAAUUCGAUUAUCUGUUUGUCAGAUAAUGACCUUGCCCC
This is a long non-coding RNA of Octopus sinensis (East Asian common octopus), 776 nucleotides long. RefSeq lists it as uncharacterized. The record is from RefSeq and is a predicted model, not a curated record. NCBI's taxonomy places the organism in Eukaryota, Metazoa, Mollusca, Cephalopoda, Octopoda, Octopodidae. The transcript is spliced from 4 exons.